Long non-coding RNA from Acanthochromis polyacanthus (spiny chromis), 2271 nucleotides. RefSeq lists it as uncharacterized. NCBI's taxonomy places the organism in Eukaryota, Metazoa, Chordata, Actinopteri, Pomacentridae. The record is from RefSeq and is a predicted model, not a curated record. The transcript is spliced from 3 exons.
CCCCUUCUGAGCAGUGUGAAACUAAAUUAUGAGCUGAUAAAAGCUGCAGCCUUAGUGACACUGUGAGAGUCUUUUCUACUGUAAAAUCUACUCAUUUUCUAGGAUAUCAGGUGACCAGAACAUAACAAGCUUGUGACAUUAGAUAUCUAUGAUAUCUAUGCUAACAAACUGUCAGAUCUGAAGGUAGAUCAAGUCUAAAUUUCUUCUUGUGUGUCAUGUGAUCAGUAGUACAUCGGCCCUUAAAUUCAAAUGAACUUCAGAGUGAAUUUUCACUGCUGAAUUCAUGUAAGACAUGAAACCAAAAGGACUUCUCAGGUGGGAACUCGAAUUUUGAAACUUUUUAUAAGAAACCACCGAAAGGAAUCCAAGGCUGAGGCGAGUGUUUGGUGUAGAGGGAAAAUAUCAGCGGGUACACUGUGGAGUGCUGCUUCACAAAUUUCAAAAACAGUUGCAUGUUGAUCUUAAAAUAUAUGAAGAAGACAGAAGAGUUAGAAUAAUUUAUUUCUUUGUUAUCAGCAAGUCAUAAUCACAAAGUGAACACUGCUUUCACUUUGGGUCUACUGAGCACCAUGAGGAAAUUACAAACAACAACAGAGGCACAAAACAACCAGAGAGAAACACAACAACUGCAAAGAUAAAAUAAAGACACAAAGACAUGCAAGACAACUAAAAUGUACAAAACAACACAGAAAAUAAGAAUAAAGAUACAUAAUAGGAUUAAAACAAGGCAUAAAGUUAUGCAACAUAACCACAGAGACCCCAAAGUAGCCACCUAGACCAGGGGCCUAUUUCACGAAGCAGCUUUAGUGAAAACUCUGAGUUUCUUAACCCUGAAAUGAGGAAAACUCAGAGUUUUCCGUUUCACGAAGUGAGGUAACUCUAACCAGGGAAUGCGGGGUAACUCUCGCCUGUUUCACAAAGAGGGGUAACUUCAACUCUCGGUCAGUUACCGCAGUAACAGACUCUAUAACUUUAACCUGGCUAGCAGCAGGUUUAUCUGAGAAAACCUCGAGUUUCUCUCCAUCUCCGCCCUCUUUCAGCCACACACGCUGUUUCAUUUCCUCAUUCAUUCAGUCAGUAAGCGGGCGUGUUUUGGCAUAGAACAGCUUUUAUUAACGAUCCAGUGGAUAAAGGAGGCAGCAUUACUGCACAGAUAAUUAAAUAUUCGUCGGUAGAUUGUUAUCAGACCGUGCAUAAAUGUUCUCGCAUUUCCGGACAAUUAUCUGUUUGAGCGGUACCGUUUCAUAAUCGUUUCAAGUCCAUAAUCUACAUAAACAACCUAAUCCGUCCUUACAUUUACCUUACCAGCCGCAGUCAUGCUCUCACAUCCAGCAGAUAUUGUGUGUUGCGCUGCGGUUCUUUGCAAAUGGAAGUUUUUAUAUAAUGUCGGAGAUGCAGAGCACUACAGUAAGACAACUGUAUGGAGGACAGUCAGAAAAGUUUUCCUGGCCCUGAAACGACUUUUACCAUCAUUGUGGUUUUCCCUGGACAUAAACCUGUCAGAGCAUCAAGGAGGAGUUCCACAGGAUUGCAGGUGAAUGAUGUAGAGAUGUUAAAUUCAUUUUAAAUCAUAUUCUGUUAAUGACAUUGUGCUGCAACCUCAGAGUGAGAUUAGUCAUUUUAAUAUCUUUUAGGAUUUCCCAGUGUGAUUGGAUGCAUAGAUGCACAUACUUCCCCAUCACAGCUCCAUCACAUCAUGAAUAGGAAGUCCAUUCACAGCAUAAAUGUGCAGAUCAUAUGUGAUGCUGCAUACAUCAUUUCUAAUGUGGAGGCCAAGUGGUCUGGGUCUGUUCAUGACUCCAGCAUUUAUGGAGAGUCUAACCUGAGCAACAGACUGCAGCGUGGAGAGUUUGAUGGCCUUCUGCUGGGUGACAGGGGUUACCAUGACAACCCAGGCUGAUGACCUCAUACCCUGACACUGAACUAGGCCCCCAACAGAACUUCAACCGGGCUCACUGCAGGACCAGAGCCCAGGUGGAGAUGACCAUAGGCCUGCUGAAAGCCCGUUUCCAGCGCCUACGUCUCCUCAGACCCUGAGAGGGCCUGUGAUAUUACUGUGGCAUGUGUUGGUCUUCAUAAUAUUACCACUAUUAGAGGAGAGCAACACCCUGCCCUACAAACUGAACACCCAGAUGAUGAGCCCAUCCACCUGCAGCUAUCCAGGACAGCAGAGCAGUCAGAGACACCGUAUGCAAUAAUCACUUUAGAGUUUAAGUCACCAUCAUCACCAUCAUCACCACCACAGCAAAUAAAGACAUGAUACACAUUUCA